GGAUGUGAGGGCCACCUGGCUGUGACAUCCAUCACCCCAUUGAUUGCCACGGUUGAUUUGGCUGAUCUGGCUGGCUAGGUGGGUGUCCCCUUCCUCCCUCACCGCUCCAUGGGCGACCCUCCUGAAGCAAUGGAAAAGAACGACCUUCCCCGAAUAGAGGAGGGCUGGCCUUCAGUCAGGGUUAUAUGAGUAGCUAUGCUCCCUGCUAGAACCCCCAAACAAGCUCUGAAGAACCCAUUCAGGCUUCUACAGAGUGGUGGUGCCACAGGGUAAGAGCUCCAGUCCCUCUGU
RNAcentral lists this small nuclear RNA (291 nucleotides) under Jaculus jaculus (lesser Egyptian jerboa). RNAcentral's name for it is "7SK RNA (ENSJJAG00000001132.1)". It matches the Rfam family "7SK RNA". From Rfam's summary of the family: 7SK was discovered as an abundant small nuclear RNA in the mid-70s but a possible function has only recently been suggested. Two independent studies have found that 7SK RNA binds the CDK9/cyclin T complex (known as elongation factor P-TEFb). The record is from RNAcentral. Lineage: Eukaryota; Metazoa; Chordata; Mammalia; Rodentia; Dipodidae.